Mus spicilegus (steppe mouse) is the source of this 663-nucleotide long non-coding RNA. The record is from Ensembl. NCBI's taxonomy places the organism in Eukaryota, Metazoa, Chordata, Mammalia, Rodentia, Muridae.
AAAAAGUCGAUCCCUCCAUUAAAUCCCAACCAGGUCGGUAUUCUUUUAAGACUAAGGUUUGGCGCCUGAUCAACAGACUCUCAGAGAACUCUUCUGGGCCCUUUUGCGCACAGCAGUUUUGAAUCAUAGCCUCGGGCCUUCUUGCUCAGGUUGGGGGAGAUAAUAAUUCAAACAACUUCAGAUGAGCCCCGAGGGAUAGCAACAUGAAGUCUCCACAAAGUGCCUCCCAACCUGACACAACUCCUACGUUCUCUCACAUGGAAGAGUAAGAUGAAAGUCAACAAGGAGUCUUAUUUGAAGCAGCUCCUUCUCCCACAGCUGCCCAUACCUUCCCUGCAUUCCCUCUGCAUUCAGCAGCUACUGACUUGGAAUUCUCAAAACAGUGUUCAUACUUCUGCUCCAGCCUCAGCUGCACUGGGAUUUCAGUCUAAAUGAGCUGAGAAAAAGGUUCCAAACAGCGAGCUCGGAAGCCUAAAACUCAGGAAAAAGCCCUUCCGUGGCUCCAUCCAGCUGAGCAAACCCUGAAAGCCAACAUGAUUGAUGCUCCAGCAUGGGCAAGGAAGAGCCCCAACUCCCCUUCAGAGACCCUUGCUUGCUUUACUCUGUGUGAUUUCAUGCAUAGGACAGGGAUCUUGAAGGCCUUGAAAGUAAAAUAAACAAAAA